This 433-nucleotide unclassified non-coding RNA is filed under the name Hevea brasiliensis (rubber tree). Lineage: Eukaryota; Viridiplantae; Streptophyta; Magnoliopsida; Malpighiales; Euphorbiaceae. The record is from RNAcentral.
GCUGAUGGCUAUGAAACCAUUCCUUUAGAUCAUACAAGUGUUUCAUCAGGUAAAAGAAGCAUUGAUUCAAGUGGGACUGCAAUUGGGCCUGUGGGUGAAGUCCCUGCUUUAAGAAGUGAAAAGGAAUCUUUAGGGAAGCAACCAGAAGUCAGGCCUGAGGCAUAUACUGAAAGCAAUGAUGAUUCCGGUGAUACACCUAUUUUGCAAUCACUGCCAAAAGAUUCCAAAAUUUCAUUGAAGCUAAAGAUUAAAAAACCUAAUCUUCUUAACCAGUAUUCUCAAAAGCCUCCACCUGAGGAAGAAAGGAGUUCCAUACGGGGCCAAAGGUCAAAAAGAAAGAGACCAUCAAGCUUGUUGGAGAGGACACCUUUUAAUGAAUAUGAAGAUGUCAUGCAAUCACAUCAAGACAGUGAGAUGAUGGAAGCUAGUUGGA